GGCGGCACUAGCGCGGUGGUCCCACCUGACCCCAUGCCGAACUCAGAAGUGAAACGCCGUAGCGCCGAUGGUAGUGUGGGGUCUCCCCAUGCGAGAGUAGGGAACUGCCAGGC
This 113-nucleotide ribosomal RNA is filed under the name Salmonella enterica subsp. enterica serovar Infantis. The record is from RNAcentral. Lineage: Bacteria; Pseudomonadati; Pseudomonadota; Gammaproteobacteria; Enterobacterales; Enterobacteriaceae. RNAcentral also lists the same sequence under 32 other names.